UGGCCAGAUCACGUUGAAAUGUUCCCAUAUGAUCAUCAAAGUUAAGCAACUUUGAGCCCAGUCAGUACCUUAAUGGGUGACUGCUUGGGAAUUCCAGGUGCU
Molecule: non-coding RNA, 102 nt
Organism: Acanthosepion pharaonis
Lineage: Eukaryota; Metazoa; Mollusca; Cephalopoda; Sepiida; Sepiidae
Source: the annotation of a GenBank genome assembly